RNAcentral lists this ribosomal RNA (497 nucleotides) under uncultured bacterium. RNAcentral's name for it is "partial 16S ribosomal RNA". It matches the Rfam family "Bacterial small subunit ribosomal RNA", at positions 28 to 507 of the family's 1533-position model. The record is from RNAcentral.
GAUGAACGCUGGCGGCGUGCCUAAUACAUGCAAGUCGAGCGAACAGACGAGGAGCUUGCUCCUCUGACGUUAGCGGCGGACGGGUGAGUAACACGUGGAUAACCUACCUAUAAGGCUGGGAUAACUUCGGGAAACCGGAGCUAAUACCGGAUAAUAUAUUGAACCGCAUGGUUCAAUAGUGAAAGACGGUUUUGCUGUCACUUAUAGAUGGAUCCGCGCCGCAUUAGCUAGUUGGUAAGGUAACGGCUUACCAAGGCAACGAUGCGUAGCCGACCUGAGAGGGUGAUCGGCCACACUGGAACUGAGACACGGUCCAGACUCCUACGGGAGGCAGCAGUAGGGAAUCUUCCGCAAUGGGCGAAAGCUUGACGGAGCAACGCCGCGUGAGUGAUGAAGGUUUUCGGAUCGUAAAACUCUGUUAUUAGGGAAGAACAAAUGUGUAAGUAACUAUGCACGUCUUGACGGUACCUAAUCAGAAAGCCACGGCUAACUACGUG